AUGGACGAAGUGAGAGGAAAGAGCCUCGGGAGACCGUCGCCUCUCCUCACCGGCCUUCUCCCAGGUUCCCGAUCUGGAGCCUCUCCUCACCUUCUCCUAGAUCUGGAGCGGGAGGGACGGACGCCGGCGAGGCCAGCCUCCCCUUCACACACGGAGGUUGUUGAGAUUAUUGAUCGGUAUGAUCAUGCAUGUGUCCCACCUAACAUGACUGAUAAUAAGCUUGCGUACAUCCAGAAUGAGGCUAUAUCCAGAGAGUGCACAAGGACUCUCACGGAUACGAAGCAGCCAAUUUAUGCCUACUACCAACUUGACAACUUUUAUCAGAAUCAUAGGAGUUCAUGCCCCGGUCAAAUCUAG
Molecule: ribosomal RNA, 357 nt
Filed under: Triticum aestivum (bread wheat)
Lineage: Eukaryota; Viridiplantae; Streptophyta; Magnoliopsida; Poales; Poaceae
Description: partial small subunit ribosomal RNA
Source: RNAcentral